AUUGAACGCUGGCGGCAGGCCUAACACAUGCAAGUCGAGCGAGCGGCGGACGGGUGAGUAAUGUAUGGGGACUGCCCGAUAGAGGGGGAUAACUACUGGAAACGGUAGCUAAUACCGCAUACUAUCGGAUAACCCAUAUGGGAUUAGGUAGUAUGUGAGGUAAUGGCUCACCUAGUCGACGAUCCCCAGCUGGUCUGAGAGGAUGAUCAGCACAACGGGGAUGGGGAAGCGGACCAUACGCCUAGGGAGGCACCAGUGGGGAAUAUUGCACAAUGGGCGCAAGCCUGAUGCAGCAAUGCCUCGUGGAUGAAGAAGGCCCUAGGGUUGUAAAGGUCUUUCAGUCGGGAGGCGUUACCGACAGAAGAAGCACCGGCUAACUCCGUGCCAGCAGCCGCGGUAAUUC
RNAcentral lists this ribosomal RNA (403 nucleotides) under uncultured bacterium. RNAcentral's name for it is "partial 16S ribosomal RNA". It matches the Rfam family "Bacterial small subunit ribosomal RNA", at positions 30 to 526 of the family's 1533-position model. The record is from RNAcentral.